This 253-nucleotide ribosomal RNA is filed under the name uncultured bacterium. Its description in RNAcentral is "partial 16S ribosomal RNA". It matches the Rfam family "Bacterial small subunit ribosomal RNA", at positions 524 to 776 of the family's 1533-position model. The record is from RNAcentral.
UACGAAGGUCCCAAGCGUUGCUCGGAAUCAUUGGGCGUAAAGCGCGCGCAGGUGGCUUUGUAAGUCAGGCGUGAAAUCCCGGGGCUCAACCCCGGAAGUGCUUUUGAUACUGCAAAGCUUGAGUGUGGGAGAGGAUGCUAGAAUUCCUGGUGUAGUGGUGAAAUACGUAGAUAUCAGGAGGAACUCCGGUGGCGAAGGCGGGCAUCUGGCCCAACACUGACACUUAGGCUCGAAAGCGUGGGGAGCAAACGGG